This 462-nucleotide ribosomal RNA is filed under the name Mycobacterium paraense. Its description in RNAcentral is "bacterial SSU rRNA". It matches the Rfam family "Bacterial small subunit ribosomal RNA", at positions 28 to 505 of the family's 1533-position model. Lineage: Bacteria; Bacillati; Actinomycetota; Actinomycetes; Mycobacteriales; Mycobacteriaceae. The record is from RNAcentral.
GACGAACGCUGGCGGCGUGCUUAACACAUGCAAGUCGAACGGAAAGGCCCCUUCGGGGGUACUCGAGUGGCGAACGGGUGAGUAACACGUGGGUAAUCUGCCCUGCACUUCGGGAUAAGCCUGGGAAACUGGGUCUAAUACCGGAUAGGACCAUUUAGCGCAUGCUUUAUGGUGGAAAGCUUUUGCGGUGUGGGAUGGGCCCGCGGCCUAUCAGCUUGUUGGUGGGGUGACGGCCUACCAAGGCGACGACGGGUAGCCGGCCUGAGAGGGUGUCCGGCCACACUGGGACUGAGAUACGGCCCAGACUCCUACGGGAGGCAGCAGUGGGGAAUAUUGCACAAUGGGCGCAAGCCUGAUGCAGCGACGCCGCGUGGGGGAUGACGGCCUUCGGGUUGUAAACCUCUUUCAGCAGGGACGAAGCGCAAGUGACGGUACCUGCAGAAGAAGCACCGGCCAACUACG